RNAcentral lists this ribosomal RNA (464 nucleotides) under uncultured bacterium. RNAcentral describes it as "bacterial SSU rRNA". It matches the Rfam family "Bacterial small subunit ribosomal RNA", at positions 33 to 507 of the family's 1533-position model. The record is from RNAcentral.
GACGACGCUGGCGGCGUGCUUAACACAUGCAAGUCGAACGGUGACGAGGAGCUUGCUCCUCUGAUCAGUGGCGAACGGGUGAGUAACACGUGAGUAACCUGCCCCUGACUCUGGAAUAACUUCGGGAAACCGAAGCUAAUACCGGAUAUGACACAGAGCCGCAUGGUUUCUGUGUGGAAAGUUUUCGGUUGGGGAUGGACUCGCGGCCUAUCAGCUUGUUGGUGAGGUAAUGGCUCACCAAGGCGACGACGGGUAGCCGGCCUGAGAGGGCGACCGGCCACACUGGGACUGAGACACGGCCCAGACUCCUACGGGAGGCAGCAGUGGGGAAUAUUGCACAAUGGGCGAAAGCCUGAUGCAGCGACGCCGCGUGAGGGAUGAAGGCCUUCGGGUUGUAAACCUCUUUCAGUAGGGAAGAAGCGCAAGUGACGGUACCUACAGAAGAAGCACCGGCUAACUACGUG